AAUCAACGCUGGCGGCGUGCCUCAGACAUGCAAGUCGAACGCGAAAGUCCCCUUCGGGGGACAAGUAGAGUGGCGCACGGGUGAGUAACACGUAGGUAAUCCACCUUCGGAUGGGGAAGUAACAACCGGAAACGGUUGCUAAUACCGCAUAAUGCAGCGGCACCUAAUGGUGACAGUUGUUAAAGCGGGGGAUCGAAAGACCUCGCGUCUGAAGAGGAGCCUGCGGCGGAUUAGCUAGNGGUAAGGUAACGGCUUACCAAGGCGACGAUCCGUAGCCGGCCUGAGAGGGCGGUCGGCCACACUGACACUGACAUACGGGUCAGACUCCUACGGGAGGCAGCAGUCGGGAAUUUUGGGCAAUGGGCGAAAGCCUGACCCAGCAACGCCGCGUGAAGGAU
This 398-nucleotide ribosomal RNA is filed under the name uncultured bacterium. RNAcentral's name for it is "bacterial SSU rRNA". It matches the Rfam family "Bacterial small subunit ribosomal RNA", at positions 32 to 409 of the family's 1533-position model. The record is from RNAcentral.